AUUGAACGCUGGCGGCAUGCCUUACACAUGCAAGUCGAACGGCAGCGGGGGAGAAGCUUGCUUUUCCUGCCGGCGAGUGGCGAACGGGUGAGUAAUACAUCGGAACGUGCCCUGUAGUGGGGGAUAACUAGUCGAAAGAUUAGCUAAUACCGCAUACGACCUGAGGGUGAAAGUGGGGGACCGCAAGGCCUCAUGCUAUAGGAGCGGCCGAUGUCUGAUUAGCUAGUUGGUGGGUAAAGGCCUACCAAGGCGACGAUCAGUAGCUGGUCUGAGAGGACGAUCAGCCACGCUGGGACUGAGACACGGCCCAGACUCCUACGGGAGGCAGCAGUGGGGAAUUUUGGACAAUGGGCGAAAGCCUGAUCCAGCAAUGCCGCGUGUGUGAAGAAGGCCUUCGGGUUGUAAAGCACUUUUGUCCGGAAAGAAAUGGCUCUGGUUAAUACCUGGGGUCGAUGACGGUACCGGAAGAAUAAGGACCGGCUAACUACGUGCCAGCAGCCGCAGUAA
RNAcentral lists this ribosomal RNA (507 nucleotides) under uncultured bacterium. Its description in RNAcentral is "partial 16S ribosomal RNA". It matches the Rfam family "Bacterial small subunit ribosomal RNA", at positions 30 to 523 of the family's 1533-position model. The record is from RNAcentral.